Molecule: ribosomal RNA, 433 nt
Filed under: uncultured bacterium
Lineage: Bacteria
Description: bacterial SSU rRNA
Rfam family: Bacterial small subunit ribosomal RNA
Source: RNAcentral
AAUCAACGCUGGCGGCGUGCCUCAGACAUGCAAGUCGAACGAGAAAGUCCCCUUCGGGGGGUGAGUAAAGUGGCGCACGGGUGAGUAACACGUGGGUCAUCUACCCUUAGGUGAGGAAUACCGGCGAGAAAUCGCCGACAAUGCCGCAUACGCUUCGUAAGAAGCAAAGUCGUAAGACGCCUGAAGAUGAGCCUGCGCCCGAUUAGUUGGUUGGUGGGGUAAAAGCCUACCAAGACGUCGANCGGUAGCUGGUCUGAGAGGACGAUCAGCCACACUGGGAUUGAGAACGGCCCAGACUCCUACGGGGGGCAGCAGUGAGGAAUUUUCGUCAAUGGGGGCAACCCUGAACGAGCAACGCCGCGUGCAGGAAGAAGGUCUUCGGAUCGUAAACUGCUUUUCUGUGGGAAGAGAACGGACGGUACCACAGGAAGAA